Molecule: ribosomal RNA, 253 nt
Filed under: uncultured bacterium
Lineage: Bacteria
Description: partial 16S ribosomal RNA
Rfam family: Bacterial small subunit ribosomal RNA
Source: RNAcentral
UACAGAGGGUGCGAGCGUUAAUCGGAAUUACUGGGCGUAAAGCGCACGUAGUCGGCCUUGCAAGUCGGGUGUGAAAUCCCCGGGCUCAACCUGGGAACUGCAUCCGAGACUGCAUUGCUAGAGUAUGGGAGAGGGAAGCGGAAUUUCUGGUGUAGCAGUGAAAUGCGUAGAUAUCAGAAGGAACAUCAGUGGCGAAGGCGGCUUCCUGGACCAAUACUGACGAUCAGGUGCGAAAGCGUGGGGAGCAAACAGG